This is a long non-coding RNA of Hylaeus volcanicus, 283 nucleotides long. RefSeq lists it as uncharacterized. Lineage: Eukaryota; Metazoa; Arthropoda; Insecta; Hymenoptera; Colletidae. The record is from RefSeq and is a predicted model, not a curated record. The transcript has 3 exons.
UUACCAAUCAGUCGGGUUUCGUUAUCGACGUAUUGAAGGAUGUUGACCACCGAGAAUCUUGAAGGCCCUCCUAGAAAAUUAAUUCUUCCGGACACCUAAAACAGCCAUUUCGACAUAUUCAGACCUGCACCACCUAUCAAAAAUCGGCAUGGACAUUCCGGACAACCCAAUAGAUCCUAUUUUAAGGGAAGACGGCGUAAGUCACGUUGUUUAGCCUGUCGAAGGUGACGGUAGCAUUGAACUUAUCAUCCAUCUCGAUGAUAGAGACACCCGAGUAUCCAAG